GGGUUAAGUCCGUAACGAGCGCAACCCUUGUCCUUAGUUACCAGCACGUUAUGUGGGCACUCUAAGGAGACUGCCGGUGACAAACCGGAGGAAAGGUGGGGAUGACGUCAAGUCAUCAUGGCCCUUACGGCCUGGGCUACACACGUGCUACAAUGGUCGGUACAAAGGGUUGCCAAGCCGCGAGGUGGAGCUAAUCCCAUAAAACCGAUCGUAGUCCGGAUCGCAGUCUGCAACUCGACUGCGUGAAGUCGGAAUCGCUAGUAAUCGUGAAUCAGAAUGUCACGGUGAAUACGUUCCCGGGCCUU
This 305-nucleotide ribosomal RNA is filed under the name uncultured Pseudomonas sp. Its description in RNAcentral is "bacterial SSU rRNA". It matches the Rfam family "Bacterial small subunit ribosomal RNA", at positions 1077 to 1382 of the family's 1533-position model. The record is from RNAcentral. Lineage: Bacteria; Pseudomonadati; Pseudomonadota; Gammaproteobacteria; Pseudomonadales; Pseudomonadaceae.